AGUGAACGCUGGCGGUAGGCCUAACACAUGCAAGUCGAACGGCAGCACAGUAAGAGCUUGCUCUUACGGGUGGCGAGUGGCGGACGGGUGAGGAAUACAUCGGAAUCUACUUUUUCGUGGGGGAUAACGUAGGGAAACUUACGCUAAUACCGCAUACGACCUACGGGGGAAAGCAGGGGAUCUUCGGACCUUUCGCGAUUGAAUGAGCCGAUGUCGGAUUAGCUAGUUGGCGGGGUAAAGGCCCACCAAGGCGACGAUCCGUAGCUGGUCUGAGAGGAUGGUCAGCCACACUGGAACUGAGACACGGUCCCGACUCCUACGGGAGGCCGCAGUGGGGAAUAUUGGGCAAUGGGCGCAAGCCUGAUCCAGCCAUACCGCGUGGGUGCAGAAGGCCUUCGGGUUGUAAAGCCCUUUUGUUGGGAAAGAAAAGCAGCAGGUUAAUACCCCGCUGUUCUGACGGUACCCAAAGAAUAAGCACCGGCUAACUUCGUG
RNAcentral lists this ribosomal RNA (492 nucleotides) under uncultured bacterium. RNAcentral describes it as "partial 16S ribosomal RNA". It matches the Rfam family "Bacterial small subunit ribosomal RNA", at positions 29 to 507 of the family's 1533-position model. The record is from RNAcentral.